Molecule: ribosomal RNA, 673 nt
Filed under: Lysinibacillus fusiformis
Lineage: Bacteria; Bacillati; Bacillota; Bacilli; Caryophanales; Bacillaceae
Description: bacterial SSU rRNA
Rfam family: Bacterial small subunit ribosomal RNA
Source: RNAcentral
GCCUAUACAUGCAGUCGAGCGACAGAAAGGWGYUUGCUCCUUUGACGUUAGCGGCCGAUGGRUGAGUAACACGUGGGCAACCUACCCUAUAGUUUSSGAUAACUCSGGGAAACCGGGGCUAAUACCGAAUAAUCUCUUUUGCUUCAUGGURAAAGACUGAAAGACGGUUUYKGCUGUCGCUAUWGGAUGGGCCCGCGGCGCAUUAGCUAGUUGGKGAGGUAACGGCUCACCAAGGCGACGAUGCGUAGCCGACCUGAGAGGGUGAUCGGCCACACUGGGACUGAGACACGGCCCAGACUCCUACGGGAGGCAGCAGUAGGGAAUCUUCCACAAUGGGCGAAAGCCUGAUGGAGCAACGCCGCGUGAGUGAAGAAGGUUUUCGGAUCGUAAAACUCUGUUGUAAGGGAAGAACAAGUACAGUAGUAACUGGCUGUACCUUGACGGUACCUUAUUAGAAAGCCACGGCUAACUACGUGCCAGCAGCCGCGGUAAUACGUAGGGUGGCAAGCGUUGUCCGGAAUUAUUGGGCGUAAAGCGCGCGCAGGCGGUCCUUUAMGUCUGAUGUGAAAGCCCACGGCUCAACCGUGGAGGGUCAUUGGCAACUGGGGGACUUGAGUGCAGAGAGGAAGUGGUACUCCUAGUGUAGCGGUGAAAUGCGUAGAGAUUUGAGACC